CCAAGAGUCCAUAUCGACGGCAGUGUUUGGCACCUCGAUGUCGGCUCAUCUCAUCCUGGGGCUGGAGCAGGUCCCAAGGGUACGGCUGUUCGCCGUUUAAAGAGGUACGUGAGCUGGGUUUAGAACGUCGUGAGACAGUUCGGUCCCUAUCUUCCGUGGGUGUAGGAUACUUGAGAGGAGUUGCCCCUAGUACGAGAGGACCGGGGUGAACGAUCCACUGGUGGACCAGUUGUUAUGCCAAUAGCAGUGCUGGGUAGCUAUGAUCGGACAGGAUAACCGCUGAAGGCAUCUAAGCGGGAAGCCCCCCUCAAAACAAGGUAUCCCUGAGAGCCGAGAUAGACCACCUCGUCGAUAGGCCAGAGAUGUAAGCGUAGUAACACGUUCAGUUGACUGGUACUAAUUGCUCGAUAGGCUUGAUUUG
This 421-nucleotide ribosomal RNA is filed under the name Sulfitobacter delicatus. Its description in RNAcentral is "bacterial LSU rRNA". It matches the Rfam family "Bacterial large subunit ribosomal RNA", at positions 2492 to 2925 of the family's 2925-position model. The record is from RNAcentral. Lineage: Bacteria; Pseudomonadati; Pseudomonadota; Alphaproteobacteria; Rhodobacterales; Roseobacteraceae.